AAAAAAAAAAAAAAAAAAAAAAAAACUGUCCUUCAUUGUCAAUUCCAGUGCUGACAAGUAAGGACUCGACGAUGAGGUGGAUCGCUUUGACUUUCUUGUUGUUGUCAUCCUUGAUGGUGGCGACAGAAGCGCGGCUCCCAGCCAAAAUACCGCCUACAUUUCCUACACGCGGGCCUACAAUCAAACCGAUCCCAUGCAACUUCCCGUUCCCACCGUGUCCUCAUCAUCUUGCAACCAUCGAGAAGAUCAAUAAGCGCGUGUAAGGAGGACUCCGGAAGGCC
Molecule: long non-coding RNA, 281 nt
Organism: Penaeus indicus
Lineage: Eukaryota; Metazoa; Arthropoda; Malacostraca; Decapoda; Penaeidae
Exons: 3
Source: RefSeq, a predicted model, not a curated record